GUGGGGAAUAUUCCGCAAUGGACGAAAGUCUGACGGAGCAACGCCGCGUGAGUGAUGAGGGUUUUCGGACUGUAAAGCUCUGUUGUUUAGGACGAAAGUGCCUGUUGCAAAUAGUUACAGGUAUUGACGGUACUGAACGAGGAAGCCACGGCUAACUACGUGCCAGCAGCCGCGGUAAUACGUAGGUGGCAAGCGUUGUCCGGAAUUAUUGGGCGUAAAGAGCAUGUAGGCGGGAAUCUAAGUCUGUUGUGAAAAUGCGGGGCUCAACCCCGUAUUGCGAUGGAAACUGGGUUUCUUGAGUGCAGGAGAGGAAAGGGGAAUUCCCAGUGUAGCGGUGAAUGCGUAGAUAUUGGGAGGAACACCAGUGGCGAAGGCGCCUUUCUGGACUGUGUCUGACGCUGAGAUGCGAAAGCCAGGGUAGCGAACGGGAUUAGAUACCCUUGUAGUCC
RNAcentral lists this ribosomal RNA (449 nucleotides) under uncultured bacterium. RNAcentral's name for it is "partial 16S ribosomal RNA". It matches the Rfam family "Bacterial small subunit ribosomal RNA", at positions 354 to 796 of the family's 1533-position model. The record is from RNAcentral.